AUUGCUUUAGCAUUUAAUUGGGCCAUCUUCUUAUCAACCUCAUCCCAUUCUUUCUCAGGUUUGGUUGAUUCCUCACCAUCUAUAAUUUUAGUGGAUGUGUGAGGACCAUUUACUAUGAUACUCCACAUAUCAUAGUCGAGUGCUUGAAUGAAUAUUUUUAUCCGAGCUUUCCAAUAGGUGUAAUUUGACCCAUUGAAAAGUGGAGGUCGGUUGGUGGAUUGCCCCUCGGCUAGAGA
This 236-nucleotide long non-coding RNA is filed under the name Elaeis guineensis (African oil palm). RNAcentral's name for it is "long non-coding RNA (EGUI_LNC054502)". The record is from RNAcentral. Lineage: Eukaryota; Viridiplantae; Streptophyta; Magnoliopsida; Arecales; Arecaceae.